RNAcentral lists this ribosomal RNA (707 nucleotides) under uncultured Serratia sp. Its description in RNAcentral is "bacterial SSU rRNA". It matches the Rfam family "Bacterial small subunit ribosomal RNA", at positions 795 to 1502 of the family's 1533-position model. The record is from RNAcentral. Lineage: Bacteria; Pseudomonadati; Pseudomonadota; Gammaproteobacteria; Enterobacterales; Yersiniaceae.
UCACGCUGUAAACGAUGUCGAUUUGGAGGUUGUGCCCUUGAGGCGUGGCUUCCGGAGCUAACGCGUUAAAUCGACCGCCUGGGGAGUACGGCCGCAAGGUUAAAACUCAAAUGAAUUGACGGGGGCCCGCACAAGCGGUGGAGCAUGUGGUUUAAUUCGAUGCAACGCGAAGAACCUUACCUACUCUUGACAUCCAGAGAACUUUCCAGAGAUGGAUUGGUGCCUUCGGGAACUCUGAGACAGGUGCUGCAUGGCUGUCGUCAGCUCGUGUUGUGAAAUGUUGGGUUAAGUCCCGCAACGAGCGCAACCCUUAUCCUUUGUUGCCAGCGGUUCGGCCGGGAACUCAAAGGAGACUGCCAGUGAUAAACUGGAGGAAGGUGGGGAUGACGUCAAGUCAUCAUGGCCCUUACGAGUAGGGCUACACACGUGCUACAAUGGCGUAUACAAAGAGAAGCGACCUCGCGAGAGCAAGCGGACCUCAUAAAGUACGUCGUAGUCCGGAUUGGAGUCUGCAACUCGACUCCAUGAAGUCGGAAUCGCUAGUAAUCGUAGAUCAGAAUGCUACGGUGAAUACGUUCCCGGGCCUUGUACACACCGCCCGUCACACCAUGGGAGUGGGUUGCAAAAGAAGUAGGUAGCUUAACCUUCGGGAGGGCGCUUACCACUUUGUGAUUCGUGACUGGGGUGAAGUCGUAACAAGGUAACCA